This is a long non-coding RNA of Amphiprion ocellaris (clown anemonefish), 402 nucleotides long. RefSeq lists it as uncharacterized. The transcript has 3 exons. The record is from RefSeq and is a predicted model, not a curated record. Lineage: Eukaryota; Metazoa; Chordata; Actinopteri; Pomacentridae.
AGACGGUUCACCUCACAAGACCGGGGUCAACCACGGCUACCAGCAUGAACGACGGCGCUUCAAUGCACAAUGAGGGACGUCUGCAGCGACUGAGAAAGAGUCUCACCACAUCCUGACAUGAGGAAAAAGACUUUAUUGAAGACUACAAUGAGAAAAACUAUCAGACAGCAGACGGCUGCAUUCAAGUCUGUAGCUGCUGAAUUCAUGGAUGAAUCAUCUGGCACUAGAGAAGAAGACCAUCAAACAUCCACGUCAGCUGAUGGAGGUCCAAGAGUCUCACCAAACAAACAACCUACAGAGUGAAGACCUCGAAUCUGAUUGGACGGCCUCCUAUUCAGCCACGUGUGAACAAAUGCCUCUAAGCUGAUUUGUUUUCUAAAAUAAAUCUAGUUUGUGUCCUAA